This 378-nucleotide ribosomal RNA is filed under the name uncultured bacterium. RNAcentral describes it as "bacterial SSU rRNA". It matches the Rfam family "Bacterial small subunit ribosomal RNA", at positions 28 to 407 of the family's 1533-position model. The record is from RNAcentral.
GACGAACGCUGGCGGCGUGCUUAACACAUGCAAGUCGAGCGGUAAGGCCCUUUCGGGGGUACACGAGCGGCGAACGGGUGAGUAACACGUGGGUGACCUGCCCUCAGCUCUGGGAUAAGCCUGGGAAACCGGGUCUAAUACCGGAUAUGACUCCAUGACGCAUGUUGUGGGGUGGAAAGCCUUGUGCGGCUGAGGAUGGGCCCGCGGCCUAUCAGCUUGUUGGUGGGGNGAUGGCCUACCAAGGCGACGACGGGUAGCCGGCCUGAGAGGGCGACCGGCCACACUGGGACUGAGACACGGCCCAGACUCCUACGGGAGGCAGCAGUGGGGAAUCUUGCGCAAUGGGCGAAAGCCUGACGCAGCGACGCCGCGUGAGGG